CGACAACGAAACAGAGACGGAGACCGAGAGUCGCUUUUUUAGCAACCCAGUUGCUGUUUGCCGCAUUCGCAUUUCGGCUUUCGUGCCGCGCGGCAGCCAAAAAAAAAGCAAACUAAAAGCCCAAGAGAAUUCUCUACAGAACUUUUUUGCACGCGUGUGAUUCAAUCGAAUACGAAGUUUAAGUAUCCUAGCGGGAACUCAACCCAACUGUGUGUGUGUGUGAGAAACUGAACUGAAAACUGAAACAAAACUAAAACUAAAAACUGAAAACAGAAAACUGAAUUGUUGUUCCAUAAUCGUGCCGUUUGCCAAUUGGCGACGGCAAAAGUUUUGUGACCUUUUUUUGGCGGAAACAUUUCGAGAGGAAAUUGCAUUUUGCACUUUGCAUUUUCCACUUUUGCACAUCGCAUUUUGCAUUUUGCAUUUAACAUUUCUCAAAGAGUCAAGUUCAUAAUUUUGACUCUGUGAACAUUUUGUGAGUCGACUUGUUAAAUAUUCAAAACAAAAUUGUCGCCAGCGCAUACACGAAAAAAAACAACGCCAACGCCUUUGGGCCACAAGCUGCAAAUGCUGGCACACAAAACUGGCAGAAACUCCUCUUUCGAAGGUAAGCAUAACUACAACACAACAGAAAAAAAGGGCAAAACGCCCCAAAGUGGCAAUAACAAAGAGAACAAACAUUGCCAACUUUUAGUUUAGUGAAGAGGGAGUGAAGAGUGGGUAGUUUGAAGAGGGGGGAAGAGUGCUCUUUGGGGGCUUCGAGUCGAGUCUUGGACCUGGUCGACGUCUCGGCGAAACUCUUUCAAGUUUUUUUGACAGCUGCUGUCAAAUGUUGAAAGCAAGCCAGGCCCCAGCCCCAUAUAUAUGUAGAAGCGAGAGAACAACCAUACAGAAAUAUCUAAAACAAGUCAGCCACAGCUACAGCUACAGACUUGGCCAAGAGUCAGGCAUAGAGUCAGUCAUGGCCAUGGCCCAAAGUGCCCCCAAAGUUUGUGGCCUCCCGCCUCUCUCUCUCUGUCUCUCGCAUAUCGGAGAACAUCUCUAUACGAAUACACAACAUUCUUAUAGCCUUCUUUAACUCUCUAAGCAAACUUUUCAAAAAUGAAACCAAAACAAAAAGCAAAACCAAAACGAAAACAAAAAAGCAGAAGAAAAGGAGAAAAAACAACAGCAACGAAACAUAAAACAAUAAAACGAUUUUAUAGUUUUCAUGCACGAAGUCCACGAAAUGAAAAAUUCUACAAUUUAAACUGACAUUUAAAUUGAUAGUUCAAGAGAUGCACACGACAGAUACCAAGCUAGAAAGAGAGAGAGGAAGAGAGAGAGGGAUUGAGAGAGAGAAACAUACAAAACGAAACGAGACAGCUACUAAGAGAGGAGCGAGAGGGGAACGAGAGGGAGCAGCAUAAGCUGAAAAGUAUAUACUCAUAUAUGAUGCCAUAUAGAGGCGUGGCGGAAGGGGCAGACACACACACACACAUACACACACACUUGCAGCUGCUGCAAUGGGUGACGUACUACAAGUUGUUGUUGCGGCUGCUGCUGCGGCUUUUUGGCGGCUGAUGAUGAUGCUGAUGUGCUGAGCUCCCCAUUGUUGUUGUUGCUGUUGCUGUUGCAGUUGUGGUGGCAACAGCAACAUAAAAAAAAAACAAAACAAAUUCAUACAAAUAUUUCAACUUGAAUUGCAGUCUCUGGGAAAAAUAAUAAAGAAAAACAAAACAGCAAAAAAAAUAUAAUUUAAAGCGAGAAAGUGCAAAGACAAAAGAGUGUUUCCAACAAAUUUGAUAAAAAGAAAUGCAAAAUUAAUGCACAAUAUUUUUGGAUUCAACAGGAAACAAAACAAGCAGAAAAUAUCUAAAAGGGUUUUAAGAGAUUUUUGUGUAGAAAGGUGAUAAAAAAUUACUAGAAGCAAAUGUAUU
Molecule: RNA transcript, 1919 nt
Organism: Drosophila nasuta
Lineage: Eukaryota; Metazoa; Arthropoda; Insecta; Diptera; Drosophilidae
Exons: 3
Source: RefSeq, a predicted model, not a curated record